GACGAACGCUGGCGGCGCGCCUAACACAUGCAAGUCGAACGGAGUCACGAGGAGCUUGCUUUUCUUGACUUAGUGGCGAACGGGUGAGUAACGCGUGAGUAACCUGCCCUGGAGUGGGGGACAACAGUUGGAAACGACUGCUAAUACCGCAUAAGCCCACGGAUCCGCAUGGAUCUGCGGGAAAAGGAUUUAUUCGCUUCAGGAUGGACUCGCGUCCAAUUAGCUAGUUGGUGAGGUAACGGCCCACCAAGGCGACGAUUGGUAGCCGGACUGAGAGGUUGAACGGCCACAUUGGGACUGAGACACGGCCCAGACUCCUACGGGAGGCAGCAGUGGGGGAUAUUGCACAAUGGGGGAAACCCUGAUGCAGCGACGCCGCGUGGAGGAAGAAGGUUUUCGGAUUGUAAACUCCUGUCGUGAGGGACGAUAAUGACGGUACCUAACAAGAAAGCACCGGCUAACUACGUG
RNAcentral lists this ribosomal RNA (468 nucleotides) under uncultured bacterium. RNAcentral's name for it is "partial 16S ribosomal RNA". It matches the Rfam family "Bacterial small subunit ribosomal RNA", at positions 28 to 507 of the family's 1533-position model. The record is from RNAcentral.